GACGAACGCUGGCGGCGUGCCUAAUACAUGCAAGUAGAACGCACAGUUUAUACCGUAGCUUGCUACACCAUAGACUGUGAGUUGCGAACGGGUGAGUAACGCGUAGGUAACCUGCCUGGUAGCGGGGGAUAACUAUUGGAAACGAUAGCUAAUACCGCAUAAUAUUCAUUAUUGCAUGAUAAUUGAUUGAAAGAUGCAACUGCAUCACUACAAGAUGGACCUGCGUUGUAUUAGCUAGUAGGUGAGGUAACGGCUCACCUAGGCGACGAUACAUAGCCGACCUGAGAGGGUGAUCGGCCAACCUGGGACUGGGAACCGGCCCAGACUCCUACGGGAGGCAGCAGUAGGGGAUCUUCGGCAAAUGACGGAAGUCUGACCGAGCAACGCCGCGUGAGUGAAGAAGGUUUUCGGAUCGUAAAGCUCUGUUGUAAGAGAAGAACGGGUGUGAGAGUGGAAAGUUCACACUGUGACGGUAUCUUAUCAGAAAGCGACGGCUAACUACGUG
RNAcentral lists this ribosomal RNA (505 nucleotides) under uncultured bacterium. RNAcentral describes it as "partial 16S ribosomal RNA". It matches the Rfam family "Bacterial small subunit ribosomal RNA", at positions 28 to 507 of the family's 1533-position model. The record is from RNAcentral.